AAUGAAAUUCUCUUUGCUAGGGCCCCAAUCCCCAGCUUGCUUAGCUUGUAGAAUUUCUUAAUGAAAUUCUCUUUGCUGGGGCCCCGAUCCCCAGCUUGCUUAGCUUGUAGAAUUUCUUUGUGAAAUUCUCUUUGCUAGGGUCCCAUCGCCCCGGCAAGGUUGACUAGAAUUAAAAAAAGCUAGUUACAAGUGCAUUUUUAAUUCAGUCAACUACUGCCAAUAUAUAUUUGUAGCCUGAGACAUUGAAUUAU
This 251-nucleotide non-coding RNA is filed under the name Staphylococcus haemolyticus JCSC1435. Its description in RNAcentral is "Staphylococcus sRNA 35 (srn_0335)". It matches the Rfam family "Staphylococcus sRNA 35 (srn_0335)". From Rfam's summary of the family: Other name: Srn_0335, SAOUHSCs258. The record is from Rfam by way of RNAcentral. Lineage: Bacteria; Bacillati; Bacillota; Bacilli; Caryophanales; Staphylococcaceae.